CGCUUUCCGAUACGUUGGGCACUAGGUGUGGGGAACAUUCCACGUUUUCCGCGCCGCAGCUAACGCAUUAAGUGCCCCGCCUGGGGAGUACGGCCGCAAGGCUAAAACUCAAAGGAAUUGACGGGGGCCCGCACAAGCGGCGGAGCAUGCGGAUUAAUUCGAUGCAACGCGAAGAACCUUACCAAGGCUUGACAUGUUCUCGAUCGCCGUAAAGAUACGGUUUCCCCUUUGGGGCGGGUUCACAGGUGGUGCAUGGUUGUCGUCAGCUCGUGUCGUGAGAUGUUGGGUUAAGUCCCGCAACGAGCGCAACCCUCGUUCCAUGUUGCCAGCACUUCGGGUGGGGACUCAUGGGAGACUGCCGGGGUCAACUCGGAGGAAGGUGGGGACGACGUCAAAUCAUCAUGCCCCUUAUGUCUUGGGCUUCACGCAUGCUACAAUGGCCGGUACAAUGGGUUGCGAUACUGUGAGGUGGAGCUAAUCCCAAAAAGCCGGUCUCAGUUCGGAUUGGGGUCUGCAACUCGACCCCAUGAAGUCGGAGUCGCUAGUAAUCGCAGAUCAGCAACGCUGCGGUGAAUACGUUCCCGGGCCUUGUACACACCGCCCGUCAAGUCACGAAAGUCGGUAACACCCGAAGCCGGUGGCCUAACCCUUGUGGAGGGAGCCGUCGAAGGUGGGACCAGCGAUUGGGACUAAGUCGUAACAAGGUAGCCACC
RNAcentral lists this ribosomal RNA (713 nucleotides) under endophytic bacterium WS4b. RNAcentral's name for it is "bacterial SSU rRNA". It matches the Rfam family "Bacterial small subunit ribosomal RNA", at positions 795 to 1504 of the family's 1533-position model. The record is from RNAcentral.